This is a long non-coding RNA of Oncorhynchus masou masou (cherry salmon), 700 nucleotides long. RefSeq lists it as uncharacterized. The record is from RefSeq and is a predicted model, not a curated record. The transcript has 3 exons. Lineage: Eukaryota; Metazoa; Chordata; Actinopteri; Salmoniformes; Salmonidae.
UGAACCAGAAUACGUAUCGCCGUUCCUAAUUACCUCACAUUAGGAAAACAUAUAUUGCUUAUCUUCAGUCUAGUCCGUCACUCUUGACUCUUGUUGGGCAGAUACAAGUGGUACAGAGGCAGGUGCAAGCCUGCGAUUACCCACUCGGAAUACGCUAUCUGUCUGGCGCUCUGUGGUUCUGUUCCUUCGCGAAUCAGUGAGCAGAGAUCACGAGGUAGAUAGGUGGGUUUAUGAGGUUAUCACGAAAGCUCCCGAGACCAGAGGAACGCUCGCAAGGUGAAAUGACACAAUAUAUCAUCUGCAUCCUGAGAGGAGGUCUGCGUUGCGUAAAAGAAGCGGAUGAUUGAGGAUAAACUGGGAGGUUUCCCGUGUCUCGGGGUGACUCCAGUGUCUCAGGAGUCGCGUCUGAGCGGUAAUAGACGAGAGAGACCUCGAGAGAAUAGGUUGUUUGCGCUCCCGGGAGGUCCCGCUCUGCAUGAAAAGGAGAGAUGCAAAAGAGAUUCCCAAGAAGGAUUCCCGAUCUGCGGCCCAUUUUCCUGCGUCUUUUCUUCACGCAAAAGGUGUGGAUCUGGGCCUGUUCCAGUGAAAGCAGGAUGUCCGACUCGUGAAAGGAAAAAGUUUCUUCUUGUCCACGAUAAGAAGCAAGGCGGCUCCACGGCACCACAGAUUCACUCCAGUGAUCAGAGAGAGAGAGAGAGAG